RNAcentral lists this transfer RNA (72 nucleotides) under Collybiopsis luxurians FD-317 M1. Its description in RNAcentral is "tRNA-Pro (TGG) (tRNA-Pro-TGG-1-1, tRNA-Pro-TGG-1-2)". It matches the Rfam family "tRNA". Rfam says of the family: Transfer RNA (tRNA) molecules are approximately 80 nucleotides in length. Their secondary structure includes four short double-helical elements and three loops (D, anti-codon, and T loops). The record is from RNAcentral. Lineage: Eukaryota; Fungi; Basidiomycota; Agaricomycetes; Agaricales; Omphalotaceae.
GGGUGCAUGGUCUAGAGGUAUGAUUCCUGCUUUGGGUGCAGGAGGUCCCCGGUUCAAUCCCGGGUGCACCCC